Molecule: unclassified non-coding RNA, 345 nt
Filed under: soil metagenome
Description: partial contains 5.8S ribosomal RNA, internal transcribed spacer 2, and large subunit ribosomal RNA
Rfam family: 5.8S ribosomal RNA (bases 1-120)
Source: RNAcentral
GAUGAAGAACGCAGCGAAACGCGAUAAGUAAUGUGAAUUGCAGAAUUCAGUGAAUCAUCGAGUCUUUGAACGCACAUUGCGCCCCCUGGUAUUCCGGGGGGCAUGCCUGUCCGAGCGUCAUUGCUGCCCUCAAGCACGGCUUGUGUGUUGGGCCUCCGUCCUCCUCCCGGGGGACGGGCCCGAAAGGCAGCGGCGGCACCGCGUCCGGUCCUCGAGCGUAUGGGGCUUCGUCACCCGCUCUUGUAGGCCCGGCCGGCGCUUGCCGACACAUCAAUCUUUUUUCCAGGUUGACCUCGGAUCAGGUAGGGAUACCCGCUGAACUUAAGCAUAUCAAUAAGCGGAGGA